This 650-nucleotide long non-coding RNA is filed under the name Ananas comosus (pineapple). RNAcentral's name for it is "long non-coding RNA (ACOM_LNC004860)". The record is from RNAcentral. Lineage: Eukaryota; Viridiplantae; Streptophyta; Magnoliopsida; Poales; Bromeliaceae.
UCUAGAAAUCAAAUUUUAUAAUUUUUCGACAUCAUUUACCUUACGAUCAAGUGGUCACAAAUUUGACAAUUUUUAACGGCCGAUAUGGGAUACUUGCUAGUUUAACGGUGUAAAAGAAUCGGAAUUUGUUGAAUUUUUGAUAGAAAAUUCUAUUCACUACAUAGAUAAAGAUCAAUAACUCCGAUCUUGAAACGAAGGAUCCGAUCAUCCUUUUUUAGGACGUCGUUCGAUUUUGACUGUUCAUUUUAUGCCCACAUGAUGGACUUUAUUAUGAUUUCGAAAAUUUACGAAAUUUUCUAGAGUAUUGGAGCCCUCGUACUCAUAAGUUGUUUUCGAUGAUGGAGCUUCUGAAUCGACGAUCCACUCCGUUAAAUAUGAUCUAAAGUAUUUGAAACUUCUAGAAAAUAAAUUUUAUAAAUUUUCGAAAUCAUAAUAAAGUCCAUCAAGUGGGCAUAAAAUGAACGGUCUAAAUCGAACGACGUCCUAAAAAAGGAUGAUCGGAUCCUUUAAUUCAAGAUCGGAGUUAUUGACCUUUAUCUAUGUAGUGAAUAGAAUUUUCUAUCAAAAAUUCAACAAAUUCCGAUUCUUUUACACCGUUAAACUAGUAAGUAUCCCAUACCGGCCGUUAAAAAUUGUCAAAUUUGUGACCU